Ostrea edulis (European flat oyster) is the source of this 2878-nucleotide long non-coding RNA. RefSeq lists it as uncharacterized. The record is from RefSeq and is a predicted model, not a curated record. Lineage: Eukaryota; Metazoa; Mollusca; Bivalvia; Ostreida; Ostreidae. The transcript has 2 exons.
AUAUUGCACAGUGUUCGUUUUUCAUGCAAUUUCCUUCAUGUGUAAAAAUCUUAGUAUUCUUUUUUAAAAAUGAAACUUAUGGAAGAUGUCUUCCAACUACAGAACACGCGAUAGCUUUGUAUUGCCUUAUACUAAUUUUUAAAGCCCCUAUAUCGCAGGCUGCACGACAUGUCAUACAUUAUUUCAUAUGUUUUAAAGGACACAAGGCAUGUUUCUAAACUUUUUUUUUUCCAGCAUAAUUAAUUCUUGCCAUGCAUUAAACUAUUUUACAUGCGUUUGAAAUAUAACAUUUUGCGUAGUUUUCAAGUUUGAAAGCGGUGAAAUUCAAAUCUUGCGAUAUGCAUAUUUUCUUCAAUAUUUGUAUGCUCUGGUGGUCAAAACAUCUAUACCGCGUCCAUUGGAUCAUUUGGGGUGACAACAAUGCACGGACAGGGGUGUUGAUUUUUCACCGCUUCGACAGUGGACAAGGGAAGUUCAUUUCCAAUUUCCACAAAAGGGACCCCUAAUUGUCUGAUUAAAUCUUUUACUGCAAUUAGGGAGGAAGGAAUAAUAAAGUUUUUUAAACUAACGACAAAGUUGAAAUCGGAAAUAUGUAUUGUGGUUAAUUAUCGCAAUAUAUUUUGGCGAACGAACUAUAAGAAUUAAUUACUAUAAGCAUAAGAAAGACAAAAUGCACAUAAUUUUGUAUAUUUUAGAGACAUGUGAUGUGUCCUUUCACCAGAAUUAUUUGGCUUUAAAUCGGAGUUUACAAACAGCGGUCACUCCGCCAUUCCUAAUAGAUAUUCAGAAGAUGGAUCAGGUGACAGUCACGUGUUCAGUUCAGACUGUCUGUGUAAAGCUGUGUAUUAUUUUACUAUAGUACCGUACCAUAUGUGUUUUACGUGUUUGCUGGAGAGAAAGAAAAUAUAUCAAAUACAUAUAGCCUCUUAGUAAUAUUCCUAGACAUCGUAGACAUCUUCGUUGUUUUACGCUCUUUCAAACCUAAACAGUUGCGUUGGGUUAUAUGCAAAUCAUGUUGGGAUCACAGGCACCUGAAGUGUAGAUAGCUUGUAUAGAUCUUAUGUACAUACCCCAAUCCCUUCUAGAAAGAAAUGAUUUUUAUACAGAACCAAUAAUCUAUACUAAUAUAUGUAAUAGUAUCUCAAAAGCUUACAGAAGUUAGAAACGGACUGUUCAGAACGACUCAUGAGAGUGAUCUGUGGGGGAAAUAACAGAUUUUGGAUAAAUUAUUAGUUCUGUAUAAAAAUAAUUUCAUUUUAGAAGGGGUUAUGUACAUAUUAAAGAUGUAUACAAGCUAUCCACACUUCAAGUGCCUGUGGUUGGGAUUCCCCUCAUGAAUGCACACGAGGCUAUUUACAGAUGCAUAAGCACAUGACUUCAAAUCGGAGAGAAAUGACGCCAGUUCUAAAAUAACAGAUUAAACGUUUGAAUAACAAAGAAAGAAAAGAGUUCCGAUAGCAUAAUAGGCACGUUUCGAGUUCAUCCGGGACACCCGGGAUUUUUCGCAUUUAGCCACGCCGAUCACGUGACAUGAACAAAAUGUUCAGCAGGGGUACUUCCGGUUGAUAUUGUUUACUCUGGUAACAAAAUUGUCUUUAACAAAAUAUGCAUUUUGUGGCACGAAAGGUCGCAAUUCAGAUAAUGGAAAGAAAGGGUUGUAUAUCUACUUUGGAUGAUGUUAAAGUUCACCCUUUCCCAACCCUGGAAAAAAAUGUCCACGCAGAGGAAACGAUGGCGUCAUUUGUUUAGGAAACCACGAGUAGCAGAACAGUGCAGAAAAUUAGAGCGAUUACUACAUUCCGUAAAAGCUGAUCCAACACAGAAGCAUCCCUGUUCUAGCCAUUUCACCAUAUGAAAGGCGAAUAUAACAAACAGUGAUCCAAGUUUUAAGAAAACCAAGAGGUUUGUACUGCCCUUUACAAAUAGAUACUGCGCAACAUUAAAAUAGGCCUAGUUGAUACCCUUAUCCACAUAGAUUUGAGCAAUGUAUGCAUUUUACAAUGGUGAUCAUGUGGCACUAAAUCGAUAGUAGAUUAUCAUAUAUCAGAGAAUUUACACUUCGAACUCAUGGUUUAGGCUCAUAGGCAAUUUCGGGGGGGGGGGGCAUAUAUAAUUAUAAUAUUGGGGGAUCUAUUCUUACAAAUCUAGAUUAGGAUUUGCAAUAAUCAUUCAUCUAAGCUCCAUACAGAUAGUUCAUUUACUUCCAAAUAAAUUUCAAUUCAUAUCAAAGAACUCUCAUUUAUCUUUGCUCCAACUUGACCAAGCAGUGUGCUUUGUAUACGUCAGAAAUUACAUGUACAUGUAUGUACACUUCCACUCAUAUUUAUGUGCUCUCCCACUUCUCAUUUAGUAAGAAAAAUGAGCAUGAUUUUAUUUCUUCAUAAUCUAUUCAACAUAUUCACACAGGUUGAUAACAAUGACUGUACUCCGUAUGUUGACUGGAAUUAUUGACUGGUAUGCAGUAAAACAGCUGAAGGAAAGUUCAACUAUUAAUUCAUUUCAGCCUGAUAGUCUGGCAGUAUUAUAGGUAAUCUGGCAGUAAUGGCAUGACAUCAUGAGAGCUAAUCAACAUGGUUAAUGAUGUAUAAAGACACUGUCUGAAGACCUCGAGGGAAAGGCAAAGAAAAUGGAUGAUCCACUUCCUAUAUCCCUGUAAAAAAGAGGAAGGAUACCACAACAUUGACGAUAAAUUAUUGUCAAUUCAAGAAGCAAAGUUGUGAAAAUGCAAAAAUGAUAAUUAAUGUAUUUGUUAGAAAAAUAUCGUUAACUGCAUAUAUAUUUCUUGAACUUAUUCAGGAAUACAUCAGAUGUAGUCAUUCAUAUUAAAACUGAAUCUAUGAAUUUUCAUAACUUUUAUCAAUAAAGUUUACUAUAUUUA